Molossus molossus (Pallas's mastiff bat) is the source of this 70-nucleotide small nucleolar RNA. RefSeq annotates it as small nucleolar RNA SNORD63. The record is from RefSeq and is a predicted model, not a curated record. Lineage: Eukaryota; Metazoa; Chordata; Mammalia; Chiroptera; Molossidae. The transcript has a single exon.
GUGCCGUGAUGUUAUCAUCAACACAUCAUUCUGAAGAAAAGUGUGUGAUGACUUCCUGUGACUGAGCACA